GGUUGCGAUCAUACCAGCACUAAUGCACUGGAUCCCAUCAGAACUCCGCAGUUAAGCGUGCUUGGGCGAGAGUAAUACUAGGAUGGGUGACCCCCUGGGAAGUCCUCGUGUUGCAACCC
This 119-nucleotide ribosomal RNA is filed under the name Helianthus annuus (common sunflower). The record is from RNAcentral. Lineage: Eukaryota; Viridiplantae; Streptophyta; Magnoliopsida; Asterales; Asteraceae.